AACCGAAGUGAUGUACCGAAGGACUCAUGAUACCGGCAAGUUCCUGCUCGUAGAUGAGCUUAAAGAACAGGAGGUCCGCGUUCUUGAGUAACGUCGGGACAUGUACUGGAGCGGAUCGGCUCUGCGAGAUGAACGGCAGGCAGAGGGCAGGGUUAAGUGUGAGAAGGCACCAGGGGCUAUUGGCUCAAACCCCACCACUAGAGUUUGUUGUUCAUAGGUUUCAAUCUGGAGACUCAGUAUUGAUCCAGACUUGGAGAGAACCCAAGCUCCAACCCGAGUGGAAUGGACCCUUCCAAGUUCUGCCAACCACAGAGUGUUGUUUGAACCACUGAAAAAGGAUGGACUCAUUACACACCAGUUAAAGGGCCAAUCAGCCCACCCUCAGACUGUGGGGACUGGCACGUUCAGACCACGGAUGAUCCCCUGCGAAUCUUGAAAAGAAAACUGCACUCAUCUCUCUCCUAGCCCCAACUAUUGACAACAUGUUAAAAAGGGGCCAAGUCAUAGUAUUGGUGGUGGUAAUGACCAGUCUCAGAGGAAUCGAGGGUAUAGGUUGGGAGGAGGGUGAUAAAUGGAGAGGGGAAGCAGGAUACCCUGUGAAAUUAUGGGUGAAUGUAACAGAGUCCAAGGUACCACAGACUGUUCGGUUUGACGCUUGUCAGGUGUUAGCCUGUGGAGACCCCUAGAGGCUCAGUGAAACUAACUAGUGAGAAUAAAUACCUCUGCCCCGAGAAUCAGGAACGGGUAUAUAGGGGACCACCAUGUCCUGGAUGGAGUAAUGUGUGGUGGACCACCACCUAUAAUGGAUGGACUUACUCACCAAGUUCAUCCAACUCCAUCAAACCUUUGAAAAAUCAAAUCAGCAUAUUUAAAAGAAUUGCUCAGCCAAAUUGCCAGCCCCUGCAGUGUAACCCGAUAAUGAUAAUGAUUAGAAAGGUUGAUAAAUUUGUCAACUGCACUUAUGGUUUCGGAGUGGAUGUGACAGGGAAGGACCCAGUGGUGAGAUUUAGGAUAGCAGUAUGGGAGCCACAACCCUAUGUUACUAACACUACCUAGGAGGAGAAAGAUCCUGUAGAAAGUGGGGGGAGUCUUCUCAAUAACCCCAUUGUAACUGUUAAGGAAAAAGAAGAUAUCUGACAGAUGUUUGAGGUAGAAACACGAUAUGGGGACCUGAAUGCCUGGGUAGAAUGGGUAAAAUAUACCAUCCAGAGUCUCAGUCGUAGCAAGUGUUAUGCUUGCACCUCAGGGUAAAUAACUGCCCAGGUGGUACCCUUUCCAUUGGGAGGGACUAGAGAUCUCCAAGGAAUGGAAUGCACGAUUGCACUCUAUCAGAAGAAAACUGCCUGGACAAAUGAGACUUCCAAGUCUCUCUCUCUCUUCUUCCCUCCCUUCCCUAGCUGGGAUACCAGAAUUCCGCCUGUAUUCUCCACAGCCAUUGGUCACCGUACAGCUUGUCUCUCUGAGCAGGUUGUGAAUGCUACCAGGCCCUUGGGGGAAUGCGCCUUGUGCCCCGAAACCCUAAAUGUUGCGGAUGAUUAGGUGGGGAACUAUUCAAGGCUGAGAAUCCCCUGGGCAGAUCUCUGGUGGUAUUGCGGAGGGAAAGCCCUAUGGUCCACCUUGCCUUCUAACUUGGGGGGCACCUGCACACUUGUUCAGUUAGCCAUCCCAUUCACCCUGGCAUUCGAAAAAGAAAGCCCCUGUACUCCUAGGAGAAAUAGGAGAAGUUUAGGAGUAUCAUCUGACAGAAGAAUGUAUUUAAAUUCUAUUGGGGUACCUAGAAGAAUCCCUGAUGAGCAUAAAGUAAGGAGCCAGACUGCGGCCAGGUCUGAGUCCUCACUAGUUUGGUGGAUAACUAUUAAUAAGAAUGUAGAUUGGAUCAGUUAUAUUUACCACAAUCAGCAGAGGUUCAUAUAUUAUACUAGGGAUGUUAUAGAAGGGGUUGCAGAACAAUUAGACGCCACUGGUAGGAUAACAUGAGAAAAUAGGAUAGCAUUAGACAUGGUGUUGGCUGAAAAGAGGGGAGUAUGCAUAAUGAUGGGCAACCACUGUUGCACCUUUAUUCCCGACAAUGCAGCCCCGGAUUGCACCAUAACCAGGGCAUUGCAAGGACUCGCUGGCCGAUGCAGAGGACUCGGGAAUAGACACUUCACUUACUAGAUGGUUGGACUCUUGGUUCAGUAAAUGGAAAGGAGUGGUGGUAUCCAUACUUACACCUUUAAUUGUGGUAGCAGGAGUUCUAACAGCAAUCAGCUGUUGUAUUAUCCCCUGUGUUAGAGGAUUGGUCCAGUGUCUAAUCAAAACCACCCUAUCUAAGCAGAUGCUGUAGGGCUACCCCUGUAUUCAGACAAGAUGUUGAUAUUAGGAGAAGAAGUAGGAGACGGUGAUCAGGACGACCUGUCUUCAGAUGAGAAAUGUGAAAUAAUGCUAUUGACACUAGAAGCCACAUACAGGACUAUACCUUAUUAAAUUUUGCAAAAAUCAACAAUUGUGUAAAUAGAAAGAGGGGGAACUCUGGGAAAGGAAAUGUUUUUUCAGAAUGACACCAGAACAAACCUCGUGCAACCAAAGAGCUGUACCUAAGGAUUCAUAAUACUGAUAAGUUCCUGCUCGUGGCUGAGCUUGAAGAGCAGAAGGCCUGUGUUCUUAAGUAACAUCAGGAAAUGUACUGGAGUGGAUCAGUUCUGCAGGAUGAAUGGUAGACAGAGGGCAGGGUUAACUAUGAGAAUGUUAUCUCAGCAUACCAUAACAGGGAAAAGCUAAACACAAAUUAGGAGGGGAACAGGGAGGAGGUAACCAAGCAGUAAACAGGGGCGUUACACAUAAUAAGAAAAUCAGAAGUGUGGGAUAGGCUGUAAGCCCUAGAGUGCUCAACCAGUGAGGAAACAAGAACUCGUAUUGGGCAGUAGGAAACAGAAGCUGUUGCAUCUUUUCAUUUGAGUGUGCCUGCCCUAUAGGUCUUCUAGUCUUGCAAAAGUGUAAAAUAAAAUGUGAUUUGUAGCAAAUUCCA
Molecule: long non-coding RNA, 3007 nt
Organism: Numida meleagris (helmeted guineafowl)
Lineage: Eukaryota; Metazoa; Chordata; Aves; Galliformes; Numididae
Exons: 2
Source: RefSeq, a predicted model, not a curated record